RNAcentral lists this ribosomal RNA (1206 nucleotides) under Citrobacter freundii. RNAcentral's name for it is "partial 23S ribosomal RNA". It matches the Rfam family "Bacterial large subunit ribosomal RNA", at positions 1 to 1239 of the family's 2925-position model. The record is from RNAcentral. Lineage: Bacteria; Pseudomonadati; Pseudomonadota; Gammaproteobacteria; Enterobacterales; Enterobacteriaceae.
GGGUUGUGAGGUUAAGCGACUAAGCGUACACGGUGGAUGCCCUGGCAGUCAGAGGCGAUGAAGGACGUGCUAAUCUGCGAUAAGCGUCGGUAAGGUGAUAUGAACCGUUAUAACCGGCGAUUUCCGAAUGGGGAAACCCAGUGUGAUUCGUCACACUAUCAUUACGUGAAUACAUAGCGUAAUGAAGCGAACCGGGGGAACUGAAACAUCUAAGUACCCCGAGGAAAAGAAAUCAACCGAGAUUCCCCCAGUAGCGGCGAGCGAACGGGGAGCAGCCCAGAGUCUGAAUCAGCUUGUGUGUUAGUGGAACGGUCUGGAAAGUCCGACGGUACAGGGUGAUAGUCCCGUACACCAAAAUGCACAGGUUGUGAACUCGAAGAGUAGGGCGGGACACGUGGUAUCCUGUCUGAAUAUGGGGGGACCAUCCUCCAAGGCUAAAUACUCCUGACUGACCGAUAGUGAACCAGUACCGUGAGGGAAAGGCGAAAAGAACCCCGGCGAGGGGAGUGAAAAAGAACCUGAAACCGUGUACGUACAAGCAGUGGGAGCAUCCUUUUGGGUGUGACUGCGUACCUUUUGUAUAAUGGGUCAGCGACUUAUAUUCUGUAGCAAGGUUAACCGUAUAGGGGAGCCGAAGGGAAACCGAGUCUUAACUGGGCGUUAAGUUGCAGGGUAUAGACCCGAAACCCGGUGAUCUAGCCAUGGGCAGGUUGAAGGUUGGGUAACACUAACUGGAGGACCGAACCGACUAAUGUUGAAAAAUUAGCGGAUGACUUGUGGCUGGGGGUGAAAGGCCAAUCAAACCGGGAGAUAGCUGGUUCUCCCCGAAAGCUAUUUAGGUAGCGCCUCGUGAACUCAUCUUCGGGGGUAGAGCACUGUUUCGGCUAGGGGGUCAUCCCGACUUACCAACCCGAUGCAAACUGCGAAUACCGAAGAAUGUUAUCACGGGAGACACACGGCGGGUGCUAACGUCCGUCGUGAAGAGGGAAACAACCCAGACCGCCAGCUAAGGUCCCAAAGUCAUGGUUAAGUGGGAAACGAUGUGGGAAGGCACAGACAGCCAGGAUGUUGGCUUAGAAGCAGCCAUCAUUUAAAGAAAGCGUAAUAGCUCACUGGUCGAGUCGGCCUGCGCGGAAGAUGUAACGGGGCUAAACCAUGCACCGAAGCUGCGGCAGCGACACUAUGUGUUGUUGGGUAGGGGAGCGU